UAACCCUCGAAAAUACAGCUUCUAUAGUUAUUGCUAUUAGUUAAUGCAGGAUAAUACAGUAUUAUCUAUUAUGUUUUUGUAUUUAUAAACAAAAAACCCCUUUCACUGUUCAGUUACCCUGACAUUCUACAAAGAUUAAAUACAGUCUGCACCUGCAGUUCAAAGAUCAGACUUAAGUGGACACCCACAAAAUGUGGCCUUUCUCCUGUUGGGAGGGUCAGGUUCUAUAACAUUAUCUGUAUGUUUGUCUGGGACAGAUAACAACUCCGGGUUCUUCCCAUCUGUACAUAACGGUACUCAAAUAAACCAAGGCCACUGGAUUUCUUGCUAAACUGACUUUCUUAUUCCUUAGGACCUUUAGGUGACAAAUGCUGGGAAAGUAGAAAUAUAAAAUGCAAUCCAACUUCACAACUACAUUCAAGAGGCAAGCUCAUUGCUUUCUGUAUUUUACACAACCAGCAUCAAAAUAAUAAUUGAGCAACAAACAGAAUUAGAGCUGAAAUGUAUUUCAGAGUCUGCCUGGAAAGUAUGCAACAGGUGAAAACAAGAAACUUCCUCUUCAUCUAAGGCAGGAAAGUUCUUCCCAUGCAGAGCUCCAAAAUCACCACUUCUAACCAAUAAAACCCCCUGAUAUUUACGAUACCAUUGUUUUUGUAAAGUUCUACCUGGGGGGGAAAGUCUAAUUAAAAAAGCUCUUCUUUAAAAGACUUUUCCUUAUCCUAUUAGGAAAAACAAAAGUCACCAAUAACAGGAAUUCCCUGAUCUGGCACACUUUGAAGCUGCUAUUGCUUUUAUUUCACAAACCACCACCUGUCACUGUAAAGGUAUCAGCCAAUCACACUGAGAGCACUGUACCACCAGCUGUAUUUACCUACAUUGAUUCCAACUGUCAGGCAGAAAAAAAAAAAAAAAAAAAAGGAAAAGAAGAAAAUGAAAACACAGCUAAUACAGUUAAAUGCAUGAACAUCUGAAAACGUUUGCUGCCUGACUCAGCAGCUUCAACAAUAAUAACAAAAUCAGCCACAAAAUCCUGAGAUUCUGCCACAUCUGCUCCAUGGACAUUUCAGUCAUGGGUUUUUUUGCUGUAAAUUUAAUGGAGCUUAUGUGGAGGAACGAACAGACCCCCCCAGUGAGAACAUUUGUAGUUCAGUGCUUAGCAGGUAACGCAUCAGUUGUACAUUUCAGCUAGAGUAAAUUUAACUAUCACUGAUGUUUCCUCACACAGACAGACUACAGAUAAUGGCACUGAAAUCCUACACAUACUCUGUUCCAAAACAAGGAUGAACAGAGUUUUUAAUGAGUUACAACCAUCACACCAUAACUAAACCCAAACAACAAAUGCCAAUAGAAG
This 1351-nucleotide long non-coding RNA is filed under the name Strigops habroptila (Kakapo). RNAcentral describes it as "lncRNA (ENSSHBG00005013418.1)". Lineage: Eukaryota; Metazoa; Chordata; Aves; Psittaciformes; Psittacidae. The record is from RNAcentral.